GUGUCAGCCGCCGCGGUAAUACGUAGGGUGCGAGCGUUAAUCGGAAUUACUGGGCGUAAAGCGUGCGCAGGCGGUUUCGUAAGACAGAGGUGAAAUCCCCGGGCUCAACCUGGGAACUGCCUUUGUGACUGCGAGGCUAGAGUACGGCAGAGGGGGGUGGAAUUCCACGUGUAGCAGUGAAAUGCGUAGAGAUGUGGAGGAACACCGAUGGCGAAGGCAGCCCCCUGGGCCGAUACUGACGCUCAUGCACGAAAGCGUGGGUAGCAAACAGGAUUAGAUACCCUGGUAGUCCACGCCCUAAACGAUGUCAACUAGGUGUUGGGUGGGUAAAACCAUUUAGUACCGUAGCUAACGCGUGAAGUUGACCGCCUGGGGAGUACGGCCGCAAGGUUAAAACUUAAAUGAAUUGGCGGGG
Molecule: ribosomal RNA, 415 nt
Filed under: uncultured Dechloromonas sp.
Lineage: Bacteria; Pseudomonadati; Pseudomonadota; Betaproteobacteria; Rhodocyclales; Azonexaceae
Description: bacterial SSU rRNA
Rfam family: Bacterial small subunit ribosomal RNA
Source: RNAcentral